CUCGCCCAACCGCCGAAAGCGGGAAGAAAACGCCGACAGAAGAAAGGGCGGAGUCAAAGAGGACAUGUGACCAAGUGAGGAAUCUAACGUGAAUAACCAUCGGGUCAUCCUUGGAGCGGUGGAGAAAACAGACGCUGAGACAGCAGAGUUUUAGUUGAACAGGUCAUUUUUAUCUCCUUUUAUCGUGGCUCAUGUUACAUAAAUAACUCUGAUUAGUCUCUGACAUGUCAACACGGUAGCUGUCCAGGCAGCUGCAGACGGCGCUCGCUAGCAGAGCUGGCGUUUACUGACACUAGUCACUAACAAUCCGACAUGGUGAAUCCUAUUUGAAGCUAGCGUAGGAUCUUCUGCCAGAGGGGGUGUGUCGUGAGGAGGGCGAUACAGAAUCAGGGGGCGGAG
Molecule: non-coding RNA, 399 nt
Organism: Xyrichtys novacula (pearly razorfish)
Lineage: Eukaryota; Metazoa; Chordata; Actinopteri; Labriformes; Labridae
Source: the annotation of a GenBank genome assembly